GGGAAUUUUUCGCAAUGGAGGAAAGUCUGACGGAGCAACGCCGCGUGUAUGAUGAAGGUCUUCGGAUUGUAAAGUACUUUUUUUGGGGAAGAAUGAAUGGUUUGAAAAUAUUGAGUCUAUAUGACGGUACCCAAGGAGGAAGCCCCGGCUAACUACGUGCCAGCAGCCGCGGUAAUACGUAGGGGGCGAGCGUUGUUCGGAAUUAUUGGGCGUAAAGGGCGCGUAGGCGGAUAGUUAAGUCCGGUGUGAAAGAUCAGGGGUCAACCCUGAGAGUGCAUCGGAAACUGGUUAUCUUGAGGACAGGAGAGGAAAGUGGAAUUCCACGUGUAGCGGUGAAAUGCGUAGAUAUGUGGAGGAACACCAGUGGCGAAGGCGACUUUCUGGACCGUAACUGACGCUGAGGCGCGAAAGCGUGGGGAGCAAACAGGAUUAGAUACCCUGGUAGUCCACGCCGUAAACGAUGAGUGCUAGGUGUAGAGGGUAUCGACCCCUUCUGUGCCGCAGCUAACAGCAAU
This 515-nucleotide ribosomal RNA is filed under the name uncultured bacterium. RNAcentral's name for it is "bacterial SSU rRNA". It matches the Rfam family "Bacterial small subunit ribosomal RNA", at positions 357 to 861 of the family's 1533-position model. The record is from RNAcentral.